This 515-nucleotide ribosomal RNA is filed under the name uncultured bacterium. RNAcentral describes it as "partial 16S ribosomal RNA". It matches the Rfam family "Bacterial small subunit ribosomal RNA", at positions 355 to 855 of the family's 1533-position model. The record is from RNAcentral.
UGGGGAAUUUUGGACAAUGGGGGAAACCCUGAUCCAGCCAUCCCGCGUGUGCGAUGAAGGCCUUCGGGUUGUAAAGCACUUUUGGCAGGAAAGAAACGUCGCGGGUUAAUACCCCGCGAAACUGACGGUACCUGCAGAAUAAGCACCGGCUAACUACGUGCCAGCAGCCGCGGUAAUACGUAGGGUGCAAGCGUUAAUCGGAAUUACUGGGCGUAAAGCGUGCGCAGGCGGUUCGGAAAGAAAGAUGUGAAAUCCCAGAGCUUAACUUUGGAACUGCAUUUUUGAACUACCGGGGCUAGAGUGUGUCAGAGGGAGGUGGAAUUCCGCGUGUAGCAGUGAAAUGCGUAGAUAUGCGGAGGAACACCGAUGGCGAAGGCAGCCUCCUGGGAUAACACUGACGCUCAUGCACGAAAGGCGUGGGGGAGCAAAGCAGGAUUAGAUACCCCUGGUAGUCCACGCCCCUAAACGAUGUCAACUAGCUGUUGGGGCCCUUCGGGCCUUGGUAGCGCAGCUAA